UAAACGGGAUGCUAUGUCUGCAGCCGAGCGGUAGAGUCUCUUCGGAGACUUGAGAGCGGCGCACGGGUGCGGAACACGUGUGCAACCUGCCUUUAUCUGGGGGAUAGCCUUUCGAAAGGGACAUUAAUACCCCAUAAUAUAUUGAGUGGCAUCACUUGAUAUUGAAAACUCCGGUGGAUAGAGAUGGGCACGCGCAAGAUUAGAUAGUUGGUGAGGUAACGGCUCACCAAGUCAGCGAUCUUUAGGGGGCCUGAGAGGGUGAUCCCCCACACUGGUACUGAGACACGGACCACACUCCUACGGGAGGCAGCAAUGAGGAAUAUUGGACAAUGGGUGAGAGCCUGAUCCAGCCAUCCCGCGUGAAGGACGACGGCCCUAUGGGUUGUAAACUUCUUUUGUAUAGGGAUAAACCUAAAAACGUGUAUCUAGCUGAAGGUACUAUACGAAUAAUCACCGGCUAACUCCGUGCCAGCAGCCGCGGUAAUACGGAGGGUGCAAGCGUUAUCCGGAUUUAUUGGGUUUAAAGGGUCCGUAGGCUGAUUUGUAAGUCAGUGGUGAAAUCUCACAGCUUAACUGUGAAACUGCCAUUGAUACUGCAAGUCUUGAGUGUUGUUGAAGUAGCUGGAAUAAGUAGUGUAGCGGUGAAAUGCAUAGAUAUUACGUAGAACACCAAUUGCGAAGGCAGG
This 686-nucleotide ribosomal RNA is filed under the name bacterium 28S135. RNAcentral describes it as "bacterial SSU rRNA". It matches the Rfam family "Bacterial small subunit ribosomal RNA", at positions 37 to 725 of the family's 1533-position model. The record is from RNAcentral.